This is a long non-coding RNA of Bombus pyrosoma, 2496 nucleotides long. RefSeq lists it as uncharacterized. Lineage: Eukaryota; Metazoa; Arthropoda; Insecta; Hymenoptera; Apidae. The record is from RefSeq and is a predicted model, not a curated record. The transcript is spliced from 3 exons.
ACGAAGAAGAUCAGUGAGUCACCAGAGAAGAGUACAAAAACCAUUAUCUGCUUGAUAAGAAUUUCUGAAUGUAUGUUACAACUCGAUGACCGAUGAAAGAACCGACUUGCGUCAGCCACUGUUUUAUACUGGUCGUACGAAAGGGAUAUCUCUGCUUACAAAAACAAAUUUAUUGACACGGAUUUUUGUUUAAACGUGGAAGAAACAACGUCGCAUCGAUGUUUCAACUCGUGUUAUCUGCGUGCUUCUUUAUCGACGAUUUAUCAAGCUAAAUGGUGUACUUUUUUCAAGAACAUGGCACACGCACAGUUUCGACGUUUAAUUAAUGCCCGCGUGUUGAAAUUAAUCACUUGUUAUCUAACAGAUACGUGCCGGCCAGUGCGUAGUUCUUCGUCGGCUUCCACCUUCCACCCUCAAGCGUGCUUUCUUCGUGGAAGUCGUGUGCGUCAUUGAAACAGCACUACGUGCGUUAAAAACUGAACGGUGGAUGAAGGAAAUUUUCGAAACCAGCACUUUCCUCUAGCGUUCACGACGGGAAAAAAAAGGCGUGCGUCAACCAUAGAUAUUUAUUUAAAAAGAAGGGGGAAAAAAGAGAGACGAUAACCUAAAUGUUUCCCUAAAAAAGAGCUCAUAAAUCUUUUGGUGCGUUCGCUUGCCGGAAAUGAUAAAAAAAAUUACGGAACUUUGACGCCAUAAAAAAAUGUGCGAACUCUCACGAACAUUUCUUUUUGAGAAGAAUCUUCCAACAAAAUAAUAUUUCUUUUAAUUUUGGAACUUUUGCGUGUUCUUUUUUAAGAAUUAAAGAGGUAAUUGGUAAUUCUGGGAGAUCCAAUAAUAUAUCAUUGCUUCUUUGAAACAGACGUACCUGUGACGAACGAGUUUUACGACUCACAGGCGACAGGUAAAAGCAUUGGCAACUUCUUCCUAAUCACCGACGGACCAGUCGCCGGUUCUUUUUCGGAGAAUUUCUUUGCCGUUCGUGGAUGAUGCUGACGUCAUUAGGGACCUAUGAUAAACCAGCAGGCAAGUUCCCCAUAGCAAGAGGUCCAGUACGUGAUCACUGUCAUGCAGCGAGUUUUCGUGAACGUGUCCCUUAUAGUUCAACAUGUGUUUCAUAUUUUGACCAUGCACUUUUAAUAAGCAAAAGAACGUUACUAGGACAAGACGUUGGAUGUAAUUGAAGUAUAAUUUCUGAUACGUCCACGAUAUAACAAUUAUCUUACAAGCGUGAUAAAAUUAAACAAUCUACACCUGUUAUGAAAUCACGUUCACAGAUAUUUCCAAUAUAUUUUUGUGAUGUUUCGAGGUAGCUUUAGAAAAUCUUUAGUCCUAUGCAAUUGAAGAAUGAUUGAUGAGAAAGUAAAAGCUAGACGAAUCUUUCCAUGAUCUUGCGGAGAUCUCUUAUGGAGAUUGGAACUAGGAAUUUUUAAAUACAUUUUCAAACCCAUUAAAAUAUAAAAUGUUGUAUCAAAGAAGAUAAUGCAGGAAGAAAAAUAAGCUUGCGUCUGCGUGUUGUAGAAAACAAUUAUUCGGAUCUUGAAAGCUACGCUGCUGGAAAUCUAUGAAGAAUCUAAGAUAUACUCCAUAAAUUGGCCGUUAUGACCUAACCCCAUUUUGAUCGUCGCGUCAGUUCUAGCGGUAAGAAAUUGCAAUAGCAGAAAAAUGCAAGUUCACGAAGGUUUGCGACAUCUUCUCUGGAAAUAUUGAAGUCAUGUGCUUUCGCACCGAUGCAAUUAACACAUGAUUCAUCUGCAAAUUGAUUCUAAUGUAGGUACGUAGAAAUUGGUCGAUGAGACCAUGCGCGACUUAUUUUGAUUAGAAAUUGCAGCGGUAGUGCGCGUCCUGAGUACGCCAGAAACAAGAAAAUACUACAACGUUCGAGACUACUCGAGUUCAAUGGGAUGUACACACGGCGAUCACACGUAACUCCCUCGAUACAAUUACAUUUAAUUCAAGCCAUGAAAAUUCUGAAAGGAAUCUCACGGCCCGAUUACGUGACUGCUCCUAUGAACUCGCCUGAUUUGCUUCUCGGAAUACGCAACCUCUCGCAUCAGCCAACCGCAAAACCGAAACGUCACACAACCAUCCAGGCGAAAUUAUAGCGUUAAACAGCGAACGAUCAUCAACUAGAUGAACUCUUGAAUCGGCCAGUGAAAAAAUUCAAAGAGAUGGGAAAUUAUUUGUGAACACUGAUUAUAGGCUAUAUAUGCAACGAGUUUCAGUGGUACCUAAUAAAGAAACUCGAUCGAAGAUUAAAAUCGUCGAGUAUACGAGACUGCAAAAAAGAAAAAGAAGAAAAGAAAGAAAAAUAUUAUGCUGGUGCUCCGUUUCUUGUACAGUAUAAAUAGAGGAAAAUAACGUUAGAGAAACUCAAUAUUCGCGAACACCGUGUUAUUUAUUACGUUACAUUAUACGUUUAGACGACGCGAGCGGUAGGCAGCCAGCCAAAAGAGUAUUAUACUGCUUAUUUUCAAUGGAAAAUACGGGUUACCAACC